This 254-nucleotide ribosomal RNA is filed under the name uncultured bacterium. Its description in RNAcentral is "partial 16S ribosomal RNA". It matches the Rfam family "Bacterial small subunit ribosomal RNA", at positions 524 to 776 of the family's 1533-position model. The record is from RNAcentral.
CACGUAGGGUGCGAGCGUUGUCCGGAAUUAUUGGGCGUAAAGAGCUCGUAGGCGGCGUGUCGCGUCGGCCGUGAAAACCUGCAGCUUAACUGUGGGCGUGCGGUCGAUACGGGCAUCACUGGAGUUCGGCAGGGGAGACUGGAAUUCCUGGUGUAGCGGUGAAAUGCGCAGAUAUCAGGAGGAACACCGGUGGCGAAGGCGGGUCUCUGGGCCGAUACUGACGCUGAGGAGCGAAAGCGUGGGGAGCAAACAGG